AAGAGUACCAUUGAGGAAUGCAUUUUUGACAUCAAGUUGAUGAAGGGGCCAUUUUUGUGUAACAGCGAGAGAGAGUACAACCCGAACAGUAGUAGCCUUGAUUACGGGACUAAAAGUAUCAGUAUAGUCAAGACCAGGGACCUGUGUAUAACCUUUGGCAACAAGGCGGGCUUUAAGGCGCUCAACAGAUCCAUCAGGUAAGUAUUUGGUUCGGAAUACCCAUUUGGAGCCCACAAUGUUGGUGUUGGCAGGGCGAGGUACCAAAACCCAGGUGCGAUUAUUCUGUAAUGCAUGAAUUUCUUCAUCCAUGGCAGCAAGCCAAGCAGGAUUUUUAACAGCAGAUUUGAAACCUUUGGGCUCAGUCGAUGCAAAAAGAGCAGAAAGAAGACCAGAAGAGCCCAAGAAACUAAGAUUGGCUGGAUAUCGAGUCUUGAAAAUGCCAGCUUUAGCUCUUGUAAGCAUAGGAUGAGUGGCCAACGGGACCACUGCAGUAGGUGUGGGAUCUGCACCAGGUUCAAGAGGAGAUGAACUUGGAACCGAGGUCUGUAAAGAGGCACCUGCAAGAGAAUGAGGAUCCUGCAAAGACUCAAUCACUGGAUCAGUACACAUAAUACAUGGAUUAGAACUGGAUUGAGUGAGUUGUGAAGAACGAGUGUCAGGGAGUGGGGGAGGUGGAUCUGCAUGGGUGAGGCUAGGUUCCAGAAAAUUGGAAAAGUUAAGGGAGGAUAUGGGUUGAGCUUGAGAGGUAGCAAUGGAAGGAAAAUGAGUUUCAUCAAAUUGAGCAUGGCGAGUAAUAUAGAGCCUAGAGGUGGAAGGCUCGAGGCAACGAAACCCUUUGUGAGAGGGACUGUAACCUAAGAAAAUACAUGGGAUGCUGCGAGGAGAAAAUUUGUUAGGCAUAUAAUCUCGUAAGCAAGGAUACACACGACAACCAAAAGGGUGAAAGUUUUCAUAGUUCGGAGGGUUACCAUACAAAAUCUCAAAAGGUGAUUUACCUCCAAGGAGUGGUGUAGGCAAGCGGUUGAUGAUGUAAGCUGCAGUGCUGAACGCGUCAACCCAAAAGCGAGGAGAAAUGUGGGAGUGAAAAAGGAGUGCUAAUCCCAUCUCAGUUACAUGGCGAUGUUUUCUUUCAGCACGACCAUUUUGGGCGGGUGUGUAUGGACAUGAGAGCUGAUGGUGAAUGCCACUAGAGCGGAGAUGAUCUUGGAAGAAAUUACUGGUAAAUUCACCACCGCCGUCACUUUGGAAAAUUUUAAUUCGAGUGGAGUAUUGAUUUUCCACAAAUUUUUGAAAUUGAAUAAAAACAUUAUAAAAGUCAGAUUUCAAUUUUAAAGGAUAGAGCCACGUGAAACGAGAAUAGUCAUCGAUAAAAAUGACAUAAUAGACAAAUCCUAAAUUAGAUUUGACUGGAGACGGACCCCAAAUGUCGCAAUGGAUAAGAUCAAGUGUUUUCGAUGACCUAUGUUCAUUUCGAGAAUAAGGCAAGCGAUGACUUUUAGCAAUUUGACAUGUGCCACAUAAAGUUGGAGAAGGCAACAAAGAUGUAAGAUAAAGCUGGCCUUUUUUAUUCAAUAGAGAAAUAACAGAAUGAUUGACAUGUCCAAGUCGUGCAUGCCAUAAAUCAUAGGACGCACGAAGCGAUUUAUUUUUAAGAACAGAAAUAAAAGUAGAAUGACUUCGCUCAAGCAUAUAUAAGCCUCCAUCACACUUACCGGUUGCCACCACCCUUCCUGUUUUGCGAUUCUGUACAGUGAAUAUGUUAUUAGUAAAGGUAACAGAUAAAGGAAAAUCUGAUGUUAAUUUUCUGAUGGAAAGUAAAUUCUUGGUAAGGCGAGAUACAGUUAGGACAUCAAGAAGAUGUAGAUUUGGGGUAGGGAAAAUUUUACCAGUAUGGGUAAUGGGUAGUGAGGCACCAUUCCCAACAACCACACAAUCCUUACCCAUGUAAUUUGUGGCCUGAUCCAAUUUAGAGUGAUCCAUGGUCAUAUGGGCUGAAGCCCCUGUAUCCAAAUACCAGUCAGAGCCCACAUCUUCAUUUAGAGAACAAGAUCUCAUGAAGGCUUCAGCAAGGUGAGCUGGUGUCUCAUUCUAAUCAUAGCGUUGAAGGCACCGAUCAGCAAAGUGGCCAUCCAUCCUGCAAAUCUGGCAUCUUGGUGGACGACGCCAUUGGCUGUAGUUGGAGCGUCCUUGUCCACGACCAGAUGAACUACUGCCACGCCCACCGAAGCGACCCCGAUGACUACGAGAAGAGCCACCACGAUGGGUGGAAUUUUUUUGUGACAGUAAAGGCUGUCGCUGCUGGAGAAGAUGAGUCAAGGGAUUUCUGAAAAAUUUCAAAACUUUCGGCCUUUGAGACUAAAUCUGCAAAUGAGGGCAGAGAAGUUUGGGCUAUUUGUGCUGUGGAGAAACUAGAGAAAUCAGUACCGAGCUCACGGAGAAACCAGUGCACCUUGUCAGUACCAUCAACUGGACAACCAAUUGCAUGUAUUUGAUCACAAAUUGCUUUGAAGGAACGGGCAUACUCCACAACCGAUCUAUUGCCGCGUUUCAUUAAUUGCAAGUCAUCCUUAAGGCGUAGUUCUCGAGCUUUAGAACGAUGGCUAAAUGCAUUUUCUAGUGCCAGCCACACGUCUCGUGCGGUGGAGAGGCCAACUACCUCAGCCAUGGCUUCCUCUGUGAGGGAGGAAAGUAACAAACUGAGGAGAUGCUGACCAAUAGCUUUCCAUGCUAGGUAUUUGUCACUUGGCGUGAGAGAAGUGGUAGCGUCAAGUUUUGGGGGCUGCACAAGGGUGCCAUCAACAUGUCCUAAUAAUUCUUAACUUUCAAGAAGAGGGAGGAGUUGGGCUUUCCAGAGAAGAUAAUUUGAGGAGGAAAGUUUAAUGGUGAUCAUGUGGAUUAAGGUAUCGAAAGGAAGAAGGGUGGCAGAAGUUUCAGAAGCCAUGAAGGGAAGAAGAAGAAGAGGAUAUGUGGUAUGUAUGUUAAACCACUUGGCUCUAAUACCAUAAGAAUG
Molecule: long non-coding RNA, 3010 nt
Filed under: Olea europaea subsp. europaea
Lineage: Eukaryota; Viridiplantae; Streptophyta; Magnoliopsida; Lamiales; Oleaceae
Source: RNAcentral